Molecule: long non-coding RNA, 1054 nt
Organism: Lagenorhynchus albirostris (white-beaked dolphin)
Lineage: Eukaryota; Metazoa; Chordata; Mammalia; Artiodactyla; Delphinidae
Exons: 3
Source: RefSeq, a predicted model, not a curated record
AAGCUCAGAGCUGGUAGGGGGUGGAGGCAGGAUUCAAACCUCAGAGAGCACUUCCCUAAGGGGUGCCCGAGACGGCCCCAUAGCCACCUCGAGGGAAGGGGAAGCUGACCCCUCUCUGUCCCUCUUCCCCCCACGCCAAGAGACCUCUCUCUCCAGCCUGUGAUCUCAGUGGGAGCUGCAGGUACCCACAGAGGGCUUCCUGAAUAAUUGAUGCUUCCUGCCCUCGCAGAGAAAUUCAAGAAAUGUCAGGAUCUGCGGGGGAUCAGGUCCAGGCUCUGCAGGACACGGGAAUGAAUAAAGAAAGACGGGGACAUGGAUCCUGCCUUCAAGAAGCUCCGGGGCCGAUGGGGGAACGUGAAGACUAAGUGUGACAAGGGCCACAGGAAGCUGAUAAAGUGCCUGGAGGCCAGGAGAGGCAAGGACACUUGUGGCUUCUGGAGAAGGUGGCAUCUGAGCUGGGCUCUGAUAGCGAGGGAAAUGGUGAGAAAUGGCAGCCCAGGGGAGGAAGAGAGCGAGGGAGGCAAGACAGUGGGGUGCACGGGGGUCUCCAGGAGCAAGAUUCAUGCUCCUCAGUGGAUCCUAAAGCCGGCUGGCCACUAUUCCCCUGACUUUGAGCCCGUCCUUUCCCCUCUGGGUCUCAGUGCCACAUCUGGCUCCCACCCUCACAGAGGGAAGCAGCAGGGUAGGUAAGUCCCCGGGGGGCUUUGGAGCGGGACGGAGCUGCGGCCCGGGCCCCACCUGCUCUAGCUGUGUCACCCCGGGUCCCUUCUACUCUGGCUCUGUGACCUGGUGAACGUCCAGAAAGACUCUAGUUCACACGCCGAAUUACGCAACCUAUCAGGAGGGGAAACGAUGCAAGUGGCCAAUAAAAACUAAUGUUUUAAAACAGUCGGUAGAAAGAAACAUAUCAGUGGUUUCUUGACUAGUGGAGUCACAGGUGAUUUUCUGGGUCUUAUCCAACACUUCUGGUAUAAUCCACAUUUUUUUUUGCAAUGAGGAUUUAUUUUUACAGGGAGGAAUCACAAUAAAUAUUAUUGAAAAUGGAGUUGGAAGU